Canis lupus familiaris (dog) is the source of this 559-nucleotide RNA transcript. It is a transcript of the gene named formin-like protein 3, with no coding region annotated. Lineage: Eukaryota; Metazoa; Chordata; Mammalia; Carnivora; Canidae. The record is from RefSeq and is a predicted model, not a curated record. The transcript is spliced from 3 exons.
CAGCCGGUCCUUCAUCCCUCGGAGCACCUACUGCGUACCCGUCCUGCCCAGGGAAUGGCGAUGCCCUCCAGGAUGGGCCUGCCCAGAGCAGAGGGAUUUUGUUGUCACGGCUGUAUCCUCGUGGCCACGGCAGCCUCCAGCAAACAGUGGGUGCUCAAUAAAUAUUUGUCAAGUGCGCGAUCGAUGAACAAAUUAAAUCAACAGUGACAACCCAGGGGGCCAAGGCAGUGGAGACUCCUAGGAUGUCAGGCUGGGCUUGUCCCAGUGUCUCCAGCCUGGAGAACAGCAUCUGGCAUGGGCAGAACCACAGCAAGGAUGGGUCCUGUGAGCGGAUCAAAGAGUGCAGGCCCGAGCAUCGGGGUGUCCCUGUGCAAAAAAGCUUUGCAGAAAGUAAACGCCUGACACAUUCAACAGAAUUAAAAGCAAGAACUUGUGGGGCCGCUGGGUGGCUCAGGCUCGGGGCAUGAUCCCGGAGUCCCAGGAUCGAGUCCCACAUCGGGCUCCCAGCAUGGAGCCUGCUUCUCCCUCUGCCUGUGUCUCUGCCUCUCUCUCUGUGUCU